This 254-nucleotide ribosomal RNA is filed under the name uncultured bacterium. Its description in RNAcentral is "partial 16S ribosomal RNA". It matches the Rfam family "Bacterial small subunit ribosomal RNA", at positions 16 to 266 of the family's 1533-position model. The record is from RNAcentral.
AUCAUGGCUCAGGAUGAACGCUAGCUACAGGCUUAACACAUGCAAGUCGAGGGGCAGCAUGACCUAGCAAUAGGUUGAUGGCGACCGGCGCACGGGUGAGUAACACGUAUCCAACCUACCGGUUAUUCCGGGAUAGCCUUUCGAAAGAAAGAUUAAUACCGGAUAGUAUAACGGGAAGGCAUCUUUUUGUUAUUAAAGAAUUUCGAUAACCGAUGGGGAUGCGUUCCAUUAGAUAAUAGGCGGGGUAACGGCCC